Molecule: long non-coding RNA, 708 nt
Filed under: Phascolarctos cinereus (koala)
Lineage: Eukaryota; Metazoa; Chordata; Mammalia; Diprotodontia; Phascolarctidae
Description: lncRNA (ENSPCIG00000032863.1)
Source: RNAcentral
AAAGAUAAAUUUCCAGUGUAAAAAAAAAAUUUCCACAUCUAAAUCUGUAUUUUUCCCCUGGGGUCAGGCCCCAACUGGGUCACUGGAUGUGCUUUCAAAUCAGUUACGGACAGUUGCCUGGUUUUCCGCCUUGCUCGGAGUUGAAGACUGUCAGCCUCCUCAGCUCUCUGCAAUGGCCCCAGGAGACAGAGCCAGUUCAAAUUCCAGACUCAGACAGAUGGCAAAAUAAUGGUGUCAUUUAAAGUUCUCCAGGAGCUCUGGUGAGACCAACCCUUACAACAUCCCUGUGAGAUGCCUGGAGGACCCAGAGGACGCUCUUCUUUGCUAAGCAGAAAAAAAAUGCACCAAAAGUGAACAUGAAUGGCUAGAAGGUAAUUCACAUGUUAUGAUAUGUUUUGGACUGCAAUGGAGAGAAACAAAAACCCAGUUAAAAAAAAAAAGAGGGCUUGCUUCUCGGACUUCACCAAAUGACAGGCAGCUGGCAGGUCUUAGGAGUUACAUAUAAGGAAACUGAGCUUUGGAGAACUUGGGGCCUGUAGGUGAGGACCCAACAGACAUCUCUGGAAAUGAUCCACUAGAGUAAAAGUCCCUUUGUUUUCCUUUCACUACCAGGUAAUUAAAAAAAAAAAAAAGGUUAUACACCCUAAGACAAACAACGUGAAAAUACCAGCAGGCCAAACAUUUUGACAUGACCCAGUGCUAAGAUCA